This 254-nucleotide ribosomal RNA is filed under the name uncultured bacterium. Its description in RNAcentral is "partial 16S ribosomal RNA". It matches the Rfam family "Bacterial small subunit ribosomal RNA", at positions 524 to 776 of the family's 1533-position model. The record is from RNAcentral.
UACGGGGGGGGCAAGCGUUGUUCGGAAUUACUGGGCGUAAAGGGCUCGUAGGCGGCCAACUAAGUCGGACGUGAAAUCCCUCGGCUUAACCGGGGAACUGCGUCCGAUACUGGAUGGCUUGAGUGUGGGAGAGGGAUGCGGAAUUCCAGGUGUAGCGGUGAAAUGCGUAGAUAUCUGGAGGAACACCGGUGGCGAAGGCGGCAUCCUGGACCAUUACUGACGCUGAGUGAGCGAAAGCCAGGGGAGCAAACGGG